RNAcentral lists this ribosomal RNA (433 nucleotides) under uncultured bacterium. RNAcentral describes it as "partial 16S ribosomal RNA". It matches the Rfam family "Bacterial small subunit ribosomal RNA", at positions 29 to 507 of the family's 1533-position model. The record is from RNAcentral.
AACGAACGCUGGCGGCAUGCCUAACACAUGCAAGUCGAACGAGACCUUCGGGUCUAGUGGCGCACGGGUGCGUAACGCGUGGGAACCUGCCCUUAGGUUCGGAAGAACUCCCCGAAAGGGGUGCUAAUACCGGAUAAUGUCUUCGGACCAAAGAUUGAUCGCCUUUGGAUGGGCCCGCGUUGGAUUAGCUAGUUGGUAGGGUAAAAGCCUACCAAGGCGACGAUCCAUAGCUGGUCUGAGAGGAUGAUCAGCCACACUGGGACUGAGACACGGCCCAGACUCCUACGGGAGGCAGCAGUGGGGAAUAUUGGACAAUGGGCGAAAGCCUGAUCCAGCAAUGCCGCGUGAGUGAUGAAGGCCUUAGGGUUGUAAAGCUCUUUUACCCGGGAUGAUAAUGACAGUACCGGGAGAAUAAGCACCGGCUAACUCCGUG